AAAAAACUUUUGAGCAAAAAUAGUUUAUUUUUUAGAAUAAAAAAUAUUUGUUUCAUGAAAAAUUCAUCGGCUAAUUGAUGUUUUUGAGUUAACGGCAGUUUUUUUCAUUGGUAGCUAAUUACAAUGAAGCUCGUAGUCCUGUUUUCCAUCCCCAAAAAAAGGUAAACAUAUUUUUGUCUUUUAAUUUUAUCAUGAAUUUCUCCUUCAUCUCAUGAAGGCCAAAGGUUUUUUUCGUGAAGUAUUCUUUAUGCUAAGUAGAUGUUCUUGUUCUAGUUUGUAUGGCUUUGUUCAUCUUGUUUUUCUCAUUUUAUUCUCAUUUUGUUCUUGUUGUUCUUUUUCUCAUUUUGUUGUCUUCCUGUGUGUUAUUCUUGAUGUACGAACGUAUCAUUUGAUUCUAAAAUUAUUUUUAUUUUAAUAAGGAUAAUAUUUUUUGUUUCAUGGUUACGUUCUGUUAGUGUGUUCAAGAUGGAUGUAAUUAACUCUUGAGAAGAUAUAAGCGCUUGAGCAGUUAAAGAUUUUUCCUUUUAUCGCUCUUCCUAUUUGCAUAUCAAGAAGCAAUUUAUAUAUGUUGGAUUAGAGGUUAACUUGGUAUAUGCUGGAUCAUUAAUCUUUGGUUUGUGUGUUCUCUUAAAGUUCAUUUGUUUGUUAACAUAGCGAGAAAAAAUAUUAAGAAUCAAGCUCCGCUUAUUAUUUCUUGAUCCCGUCUCUCAAAUUAUAAUUUCUGUAGAUAAGAUAGAAUAGCGUGUGAAGGGUUUAACCACGGUGGGUUCCUUUGAUUCUUUUGUGAUAAUUAACAUCAAACCUUGAACUCUUUGCAUUUGAAAUUAAAGUAGUAAUAUGAUUCGUCUCUCAAACUUGGCCUGCUUCAUAUAUUUCUUUGGAUAGUUUGGUUUAUCCCCUUUUUCAAAAAAAGUUUGCGAUCAUGUUGAUACAGAAGAGCGUUGACAUUGUAUGAAAAUUAGUCCAACAACUUUCUUAAUGCUAUUUUUGAAUAAUGUGACUUUUGACUUGUUUAUCUUUUCGAAUCGUAUUUAUAUGUUUGGUGAUCUGUGUUGUCCUAUUUCCUUUCCCUUUUUUUAUGGUGGUAUGAUUACUUAAUCCCUAUAAAUUACAUGCUAGCCUAAUAGGAUCUUGCUCAUGUUGAAUUUCUUGUCGAGUCAAAUCAUUCGCAUCCUUACUCCUACAUUAUUCAACCUUAUUUUCUUUAUGCGCGAGAGCGUUUGUUUGUUUUUUUAGAAUCAAUUUUUAAAUGUAUGUUAAUUUCUUUGCUUCUCUCUUUGCAUUUCGGAUAUAUGUGUUAACUUCCUUUCUUUCUUCGUUUGCAUAUGAAUCCAUUUUGGAGUCCAAAUGGACUCUUUUCCCUUUGUAUUUUUAUAAUGAGCCAUUGAGUUUCAUUCUUCUCGGGUUAGUAGUAAUCCAAAAGCUGAUAAUAUUGGUGGGCCGAUGCAUUAAAAAUGAAAGAAGAAGAAAUGCGUAAAAAUCCAUUGUUGAAGUAGUUAAGAGAAUCAAAAAGUCUCAGUUUUUCCCUUAUUUAUUUAAUAUUUCUUUAUUUAUAUUUAGUUAUUUAUCUAGGAAUUUAUUUAUUUAUUCAUUUGGGGCCUCGAAGCCAAAGUUGUAAAUUAAUAUAGGCAAAGUCGAUUAUGGGCCAAAAGGUCCAAAAAGAUAAUUUAGGAUAGGUUAUGGGCUAAAGCGUAAUAUUUAGAUUAGAACAGGUGAAGAUGGACUAAAAAACCAACUAGAUUCGGACAAGGUUUUUUGAUUUGGGCCUAAUUUGCUUAGACUAAGUUAAAUUUCCUCACAAGUCAUCAAAAUUUAUCUUAUACAAGUCUUUUUCUAAAUUAUUUUUUCUUUUCAAAAAAUUAAUUUUUCUUUUAGAAGUUAGUAAAAAGAAUCAUUUUCAAAUAGUCCUGAUAACCGCAAACAUUCCUAAAAUGUUAAUGAGAAUCACUUACCUAGAAUUUUAAAACUUAAAUGAUUUUUCUGUUUUUGAAUAAUUUAAGUGAUUUAUAAAGCGUUUUCUUAAUUUUUCUAAAUAAAUUAAGUAGCGACUCUAAAAGUCAUAUUUCCACAAAACAGGUGUCAAAGGAAGCUAAAUGGGAAAAUGUCUAGAAUUCCCCCAAAUUAAAAUUGUAAAAAUACUGCAGGUGGUUACGAGUUGAUCCCAUGACUCGUGACCACAACAUGUGAAUCGCACCAUUGAGUCAUCACCAAUACAGUGGGCUAGACACCCACAGACUGUCCAUCAUACGACUCCUUGAACCCACUCGUUACCAAACCAUGCGACUCGUAUCGCCUAGUAGUACCCAAGACAUAAUCCAAAGGGAUUGACACUGGACAACAUACAAUUCAACUAUACCACUCAUACCCUAUCCUCAUGGCUCUUAGUAAGACACUCGUACUCAGAGCCAAUUCAAGGCGCUAUGUUUUGAAUUUUGAUGAAAUAUCGUCCUAACGACCUGUCACAACCCAUAACGACAUGUAUCACCAAGUCAUAACCACAUUAAAAACCCAACCACCAGCCACUGGACUCCUUACGACUAGGGUCACCUAACCUAUAUGACUCGUAUGAUAAGUCGUUACAAGGAUAGUUAACUCAAAGCUCACGAAAUUUCAAAGGGCCAAGACCCUAGGUGUGUUAAUUCUCCCCCACUUGGAUCAUUCAUCCAGAAUGAUAGGACAAGGAGGUAAAUAACACGAUUGAACCUCCAAACAUCUCUACUCUGACCUUUAACUAAGUUAGAAAAUAAAGAUGUUAAGAAUAACACAUACCUUAAGCACGAUUUUUCAGAAUGAAUAAUAGGAAUGGAUACUUGGACUUCAUGUCCUCUUCUGCUUCCCAAGUAGCCUUUUCAACCUUGUGGUUCCUCCAUAGAACCUUUCCUGAAGCUAUAUCCUUGGUCCACAAUGAACAAACCCGACGAUCCAAGAUUUUAAUUGAGAUCUUAUCACAAGACAGGAAUCCAAAAUACUAAUUACCUUGGUAGGCACAAAGCGAUAAAUCACCCACACACUUCUUCAACAUAGACACAUAGAACACCGGGUGAAUAGAGCUCAAACUAGAAGGCAACUCCAACUCAUACACAACAUUACCAACCUUUCUCAAAACAAAGUAUGUACCAACAUACGGAGGACUGAGCUUUCCUUUAUUCCCAAAUCGCAUCACCCCCAUCAUGGGAGACACCUUCAGGAACACCCUAUCCUUAACUUCGAACUCUAAAUUACUACGGAUCACAUCUGUAUAGGAUAUUUGGAGACUUUGGGUAACUUUAAGCCUAUCCCAAAUCACAUUCACCUUAUCUAUGGAUUGGUGAACCAAAUUCAAACCAAACAUCUCUCCCUCACCAACUCCUAGCCACCUAAUAGAAGACCUACACCGCCUACUAUAAAAGGCCUCAAAUAGAUCCAUCCUAAUGCUAUAGUGGUGGCUAUUACUAUAUGUAAAAUCUAUAAGAAGAAAAUGCUGAACCUAAGAACAGCCAUAAUCAAUCACCCAAGCUUGAAGCAUAUCCUCUAAUGUCUGCAUAGUUCUUUCUGCUUGCCCAUCCGACUGUGGGUGGAAAUUCAUACUAAGACUCACCUUAGUUCCCAAACCUAUAUGAAAUGACCACUAAAUAUUUGAUCAAAUAUGCGAACCAUGAUUCAACAUAAUAGAAACAUGCAUCGAAUGCAAAUUUACAAUCUCUUACAGGUACAACCUCGUAUAAUCCUCUUCCAAAAAGUUUUUCCUUACAAGAAAAAAGUGAGUAAAUUUAGUCAUCCUAUCCACGAUGACCCAGACCAAAUCAAACUAAUUUUGAGACCGAGGAAGACCGGUAAUGAAAUCCAUAUUGAUCACCCUCCACUUCCACAUUGGCAAUUUAUUUUCUUGAUACAAUCCUCCGAGCCUCAUGUUUUCAACUUUCAUUUGUUGGUACACCAUGUACUUGGCAACAAAACUAGACACAUCCCACUUUAUAUUGUUCCACCAAUACAUUUCUUUAAGGUUAUGAUACAUUUUUGUUGAACUAGGAUGAAUAACAUAACAUGACUCACGCGCCUCAUCCAAGAUCUCUCUUGUAAACCUUCUAUAUAGGGAAAACAUAACCACCCUUGGUACCACAAGGUACCAUCACCAUAAAUAUUAAAGGAAAUCACCUUCUACCAACAUACAUCACCCUUGAUCUUUAUCAAGAAAAGAUGCAACCUUGUUUCUCCUUGAUUUCAGCACCAACAGACGACUACACCACCUCUUCCACAAUCACACCACAAUCCUCAGAGUCCAAGAGAUGAACUCUAAGGUUAGCUAUAUGGUGAAUAUCUCUCACCAACUCUUACUUUCCUUCCUCCAAAUGAGUCAGAAUCCCAAUAGAUAACCUGCUAAGAGCUUUAGGAACCACGUUAGCCUUAUUUAGAUUGUAGUGAAGAAUCAUGUCAUAAUCCUUAAGAAACUCAAGACAUCUCUUUUGCCUGUGGUUAAGCUCUUUCUGAGUAAACAUAUAAUACAGGCAGAAUACAAAGAUCUUUUCCAUCUCAUCCACAAAACCUUGAGGAUCCUCCUUAACCUUUACAUUAGUGAACACAGGAGGGCUCAACCUCAUAAACUAGCAAACCCUUAUGGCCUAAGAAGAUGGAGUAACAGAAGUCCUAUGCUCAGCUUGAAAAGCUAUCAAGUAUGCCAACAUAUGAAUAAACUAGCAAAACUUAACAUUCAUCGCAUCAGCCUGAGGGGCUCAAGAAAAAAUGGAUGGAGCUAAUGGAACACUAGGAAGACAAUUAGGAAAUGGGCCCACAGAUUGAGUUUAGACCCUAUAUUAGGAUGGGUCGCAUCAAUAUUAUCCUCGGGUAGGACAAAAGGGUUUUGAUGAACCUCAGAUCAUCUGGGAGGCAUGAUCUGUAAAAAGCAAACAAAUAGAUCUUAGAGAAGCUUUCAGGACCUUAGACUCAACAUCUUGAAAGCAAAACACAAGAAAGAGAAACAUUCCUAAAUUCCUUGUAGCCUCUCCUUUAUGAUUGUGGCAUGCUACAUACCCUUAAAAGAGACUCUACUCGACACAGCAUUGUCAUAAAUCUAAUAGACUAUGAACUUAGGGCUCUAAUACAAAUAUAAAAUGACGCAAACUAGGGCCUAGUCAUGUUUGGCAUCUCAAGUUCAACAUGAACCAAAGACCACCACCAAUACCUAAUCAUAACUUUCCUGCACUCUAUGUCGAAUGAAUUUCAAACUUAUAACAAGAUAAAACAAUAAUAAUUCAAAGAUAAUAAAUAAAGUUAAUAAUCAUAAUCUAACAACAUAAACCAAAUAUCCAAUCGACGACAACUCCCAACGUCAAUACCAAUACUAACACUGACACCAAUACCAACACUUCCUAUGCCCAUAGUAGUCUGACAAAGCCUCUAUCCAAAAUCAAAUAACAUUCGGUAAGGACAUGCCCCUGAACAUAGCAAAAGCCAAAACCAAUGAAAUAACAAUAAAGAGAAGCAAUCCAUAGCAUAAAAUGGAGUCUUCCAAAGUAUGGAAGCUCACCACUUUAAUCUGACUCAAAUUUGUCUUUAAAUCCAAGUCACUGAGUAGGAGGAAUGGUAGUAUAGUCGAUUCUUGCAUCAUGUGUGGAUACAACACCCGAAGAUGGUUAACGGAGUGAACGCUAGAAUGUUACUCAGUGGUAAUGAUAAGAUAAUGCCAUUAAUUCAAAACCAAAUUAAUAACCAUGUGCAAUCACAUCAAUAGGUUUAUAUAUAUAUAUCAUGUAUGGAAAGGGAACAAGGUUUAGAAUACAUUUAAAACUUUAACUUGGCUAAGUAGCUUGACCAUCCUAAAACUAUCCAUAAGUUAUAUGGUUUCAGCUCCUCUGCUGAAGAAGCCUCAGUUCGUGAUACCGGAGAAAAGAAAUUGAGAUAACUAGUACACAUCCUAAAAAAUAUAAAGUGUGAAAUCAUGCACAUGGUCACAAAAACCACCCUCAGAUUGGUAAACAUGAGUUUCCAGUGUCCGUCUCCUAAAUUCUCCAUCUUCCACGACUUUGAUACUCGACCCUCUUUAAGCUAUAGUAAAACCAUUAACACAUUCCCAACGAUUUACCAAGGAGUCUUUUAAUUAGGAACUUACCAUUGGUAUCAUUUACCAAAAUUAGAGCUUGCAAGUUUAUUACCUUAUUCCAUAUAGACCAUUAAACCAAAUUAGACUCCACUAUUUCUAAUUAAACAUAUUACAUUUAUAAUCAAACCAUGUCCACCAAGGACAUUCCAAACCUUAUGAAACCAACAAAAACCAAUUCAUGUUUCUUUAAUCAUUUAUGCAAUGCAAGGACUUAUGAAUAGUCAAGAUAUGUGACAAAAUCAUUCUCAUUGAUAAUUUCACAAACAGGUUGAGGGAAUGCAAUUAUCAAAGACAAAAUCAUCAAAUUUGUCUCUCAACCAUUACCCCUCAAUUAUAUCACUAUUCCUAUGCACCCUUAUGUGUUAAACUAUAAUUAAUAUAAGGGAAACCAUAAUCAAACUAUGAAAAAUAAUAUUAAUCCAUGAACAACCAAAAAUCCCAACCUUUAUUUCAAAACCAUAACAAGACAAUGAAAAGCAUACAUUAAAACAUAUGAAUUAGUAAAAUAACAAUGAGGGAAUAGUCACAUAUCUUAGACACCAAAAAAGACAGAGAAAAACCAGCCUUGAAAGCUUUAAUUAAUUAUAUUGAUGAAACCCUACCUUUUUUGCGUAAAGAGAAAUUUGAGAAAGAUUUUAAGAGUAUUUUAUUGGGGAAAAUAGGUUAGUAAAGUUCCAAAAGGUGUUUUAUGCCUUGGUGUCAGAGGAAGUUAAAAGGGAAAAUGUCCAGAAUUCCCCUCUACUUAGACUGUAAAAAUAUUGCAGGUGGUUACGAGUUGAUCCCUUGACUCGUGACUAACACAUACAACUCAUACCAUUGAGUCAUUACGAAUACAGUGAGUUGGACACCCACAAACUGUCCACCAUAUGACUCCAUGAACCCAAUCAUUACCAAACCAUACGACUCGUAUGGCUUUGUUGUAUCUAAGAUAGAAUCCAAAAUGAUUGACGCUAGACAAUAUACGAUUCAACUAUACCACUCAUACCUUAUACUCACAGCUCUUAGUAAGCCAAUUGUACUUAGUGCCAAGUCAAGUCACCAAUCUUAUGAUUCAAUGAAGGAUAGUCCUAAUGACCUAUCACCACCCCUAAUAACUCAUACCACCAAGUCGUAAUCAUAAUAAAAACCUAACCACCAUCUACUAGACUACUUAUGACUAAGGUUACCUUACCCAUACCCGCACUGUAUGACUUGUAUGAUGAGUUAUUAUAAGGACAGUGAGCUCAAAGCUUAGGAAAUUUCCAAGGGCUAAAACACAGGGUAUUUUAUUAUCAUAUCAUACCCGGGUGAAGUCUGAGUCACCUGAGAGAUAUGAAUGCUUACCUUUCCCUAUGAUAGAUUGGGUGAUGCCAUUCUUAAGGUUAUAGAUUUUUUCUGUUUCUAUUGGUGCCAUGAGUGUUUUAUGAUCUAAAUGGGUGAUUUGUGAAGAAUCCCAUGAUGUGUGAUAAUUAUGAUGCCUUGCAGUAACCAAAGUUUUUAUUUAAUUAUUUAAGAAGAUGAAAAAGUUCAAAAAAAUACAUACAAAAUAUCAUUGGCAAGAAAUAGAAUGAUUUUGAGAAAAAAUAAAAAAAUAUAGUAGUUUUUUUUUUUGAAAAAUACCAAAGAUAUUUUUGAGAUUUUUUUGACUGAGACCAUUAGAUUCAAUUUUUGGUUCUCUUUUCAAGGAUGAGUAUUUCACUUAGAGUAACUUACUUUGACUUGGAGAAACUUAUGAUGCUCAAAUUGGUUAGACAGCUAGCUUUUUUUAUCUAUUAUUGUGAUUCCAUGUAUGGUGAAAUUUUUGAAUAAUUCUUGUAUAUAUGUGUAGUCUAGAACUUACCUCGAGUGUGUUCAAAGAAAAAAUCCAGAAAAGCUUAAUUUGGAGGAUGACCCAUCACAUAGCCAAGUUUCCACGUUAACAUUAUUCCCUAGUUAACCCAUUUGACCCCUUUGUCCAUCUUUUAUUCUUAUUGUAAUGAUAAUCAUGCUAUAACACAUAAACCCUUUUUGAAAAUCCUAAGUAGUAAAAUAUAGACAAAAGCCUAAGUUUGGGGGGGUUGUGUAGUUGGAAGGAUAGUGUAAGGGUGGUUAAAUCUCCAAGUUUGGGGGGAUGAAUGUGAUUUGUUAAGAUGAUCCAAGAAUGGUGUAUGUUUUCAAAUAAUGUGCUUAAGAGAUAAGAGACAUACGUGAUGUUAUAGUUGUAUAGCAUAGCCCAUAGAAUGUGAAGAGAAAUGAGACAAAUGGGGAGGGAGAGGGCUAAGAAGAGAUUAAAAAAGUAUCUUAAAAAAGUCAAAGAAAUGAAGAAAUAAAAAUGGUGGCUUUAAAUUGUUUGGAAAUGUUAAUAAAAAGGUAGGGAAAUAUGGGAAAUGAUUUGAAGGAGAAUACAGUGGAUAAUUUGAAAAUUUUGGGGUAGAAGGGAUUGAGCGAAUGCAUUAAUGAAGGUAUAUUAGUCACUUGAUCCAUAGUUUUAUUCCUCCCCACACCUUAAACCUUCAUGAAUACAUGCAAGACCUUGGUGAUUCUAAACUAUGUAAGUGUACAUUAGUUGCGAAAAACAAAAAGGGAAAGUCUAUGGUUCUUCUCAUUGUGCAUGAACUUCUUUGCGAGAGUGAGAGUGAAUUCUUUCAUUAUUUAAACACCUAUAGAAAUUUAAAUGUUUUGUGUAUGAGGAGCUAACUAUUUCAUGUGAGUGGCAUCGAUGCUUUGGGGUAGAGGGUAAAGUUUAACUCUCUGUUUGGGUAAAUGGUUGAAGUAAGUUGCAUUGUGAAGAUUGCGAUAAUCUAUCAAGAUUUUGUGUCUCCUCUUAAGAUUCUUUGUUGAUUUUGAAGGUUCACUUGAUAUAAACUUGCAUCCUUGCAUCAUAAAUAUGUGCUUAUUGAAAAACAUUGGUUUACUUGUUGCCCUGACAUAUUUGGAAUGUCUUUGUAGAGCAUUCUUAGCUUAUUCCAUUAGUAUAUAUUUUUUUUUGGGUGGAUUGAGAUAAAAACACUGUAUUAUUGAAUUAUCCUCAUUUGAUUGAGGAUAAUCAAUAGUUUAAGUUUGGGGGUUUGAUUAGUCAUAAAUUUGACAACUUACUAGCAUUUUUAAGCCUAAAUUAUCAUGCUUUUUUGUUGUUUUGUUGUUAAUUUCCUUCUUAAUGAUCAUUGGUGUAGGUAAAAGUUAAAAUGGGAAGAUGAGAAUGGAAACUUGAUAAAAAUGAGUUGAGGAAAAGGUAAAAGAGAAGAAAUGUCAAAGAAAAUAGCCAAAUGCUAGAAAUCAAGCCUAAGAAAUGACCCACAGUUGCCACAAUAGCGGGAUGAAGGUCGCGAUCGCGAUCAACACUCAAGUCAACCAAUGGAAAUCGCGACAUGAUCAUUGUUAUCUCGCUAUCGCAAUCUUAGUGAAGAUACAACGAUAGCGGUAGGGCAGAAAAAGUUUAGCAGCAACAUUGUAAUGUACUUAAAGAGACCAAGAGCAAGGUGACAUUUUUGUAAUAUUUAGCAAAUAUGUAAUUGGGGAUUAGGUAGGGUUUUUAGAUCAUUUUCAAUAUCUUUUAUCCUAUCUUCCAUCUUCCCUUUUUAGUUUAUCACUUGGAUCUUGGAGCAAAAUUUUGUGCUAAUCUUGAGCUGAGAAGACAAUAGAGAAACUUUGAAGUGAACAAUUGGCAAAUUCCAUUAAAGAUUUAUUGGAAUUUAAAGUGUGG
Molecule: long non-coding RNA, 9737 nt
Filed under: Capsicum annuum
Lineage: Eukaryota; Viridiplantae; Streptophyta; Magnoliopsida; Solanales; Solanaceae
Description: long non-coding RNA (CANN_LNC007029)
Source: RNAcentral